This 451-nucleotide ribosomal RNA is filed under the name uncultured bacterium. Its description in RNAcentral is "bacterial SSU rRNA". It matches the Rfam family "Bacterial small subunit ribosomal RNA", at positions 954 to 1409 of the family's 1533-position model. The record is from RNAcentral.
GCAGAACGCGAAGAACCUUACCAGCUUUUGACAUGCCCCGGACGGAUACCAGAGAUGGUUUCCUCUCUUCGGAGCCGGGGACACAGGUGCUGCAUGGCUGUCGUCAGCUCGUGUCGUGAGAUGUUGGGUUAAGUCCCGCAACGAGCGCAACCCUUAUCGUAUGUUGCCAGCAUUUAGUUGGGCACUCGUGCGAGACUGCCGGUGAUAAGCCGGAGGAAGGCGGGGACGACGUCAAGUCAUCAUGGCCCUUACGUGUGGGGCUAGAAACGUGCUACAAUGGGAGUGACAGUGAGCAGCGAGGUCGCGAGGCCAAGCUAAUCUCCAAAAGCUCUCUCAGUUCAGAUUGUAGUCUGCAACUCGACUACAUGAAGUUGGAAUCGCUAGUAAUCGCAAAUCAGCAUGUUGCGGUGAAUACGUUCCCGGGUCUUGUACACACCGAGUCGGUGGGGGA